UUGUGACGUUUCGGAGAUCAAACCGUCCCCUUCAUCAGACCAAAAAAAAAAGAAAAGAAAUGAUCUGAUGAAGGGGGACGGUUUGAUCUCCGAAACGUCACAACAAUAAACCAUGUUUUGUUUUUUUAAAGUCCAGUGAGUGCGGAUCUACUUUAUACUAUAUAUAUAUAUAUAUAU
Non-coding RNA from Bombina bombina (fire-bellied toad), 177 nucleotides. RefSeq annotates it as small Cajal body-specific RNA 1. The record is from RefSeq and is a predicted model, not a curated record. The transcript has a single exon. Lineage: Eukaryota; Metazoa; Chordata; Amphibia; Anura; Bombinatoridae.